This is a non-coding RNA of Manis javanica (Malayan pangolin), 2422 nucleotides long. NCBI's taxonomy places the organism in Eukaryota, Metazoa, Chordata, Mammalia, Pholidota, Manidae. The record is from RefSeq and is a predicted model, not a curated record.
AUGGCAUGCGAGGGAGAAUAAAAGUCUCCAUUGUUCUCUGCUGUUCUCCUUGAAGAGGCAAACACCAAGUAACCACAACAAAAUGAUCUCUGUGGAGCCCCGUCUGCAUGGAGACCGGGAGUGACAACAGUCGAGUCCCUCAGCAAACACCUGUAGACACUCUCGGCCAGCUGAUGGCAAACCAGACCCGCUUACUGGACUCAUUCCUGUACUUUUCUCCCAACAAACCAUGACACGCUGAGAUGUGAAGGCUGUCAACUUUUCUUUGUAAAUGUUUCAACCCAGGAAGACAUUAUCUUACCCGCCGUGAAGCCUUCUGGAAACACAUUCCUCUGGAGCAGCAAAAGGGGAAGCCAAUUCUGACGCACACCAACCUAGAUGCUGGAAGUUUCCUUCUGCCCAGCUCUUAGCAAGGCACCACGGGGGACAGAGUGAAUAAAGAAGAAUACAAGAAGGCCACCGCUCUCUUGAAGCUCAGAAUUCUAGAAGGGGGAGAAGAUACUAGGUAAGUAAGGAAAUAAGUAAGCAAGACCAGAGAGACUGUAAUGCCUGCUGUGAGGGAACAGAGAGUAACGUGCCAGAGAGAGGAACUCGCUGCUGUGUAUAGAAAAAAUGGGCUGGAAGCGUCAGAGGACCUGCAGAGAUCUGCUAUGAGCUGACAUCACCUGGGACGGCCCCAGGUGACCAGGUGGCCACAGUGGGAACGGCUUCAGGAUGUACGUGGGAGAACCAGCUGGACAGGGUGAUGGAGUAGAAGUGGCAGGUAAAGAAAAGAGAAUAGUGAUUUGGUUUGAGAAACAAACAAGGUCAAAGAUUGGGAGAGGGGGAAAGUCUUGUGUUCAUGUGAACACACAGCCUUCGAGAUGCCUUAAGAAUUCAGAACUACUCAUUAGCAUACUCGAAAGACCUGCUGGACAUAUGCCACCUCUCUUCUCUCUGCUGGGCCCUCGUGACCCCAACCUUUAUAGCAAAAGCUUAUAAAUGUAGAAAGGGAGAUUGGAGAGGGUCUGGCUUUAGAUGUUUAACAUCAACUGAUUCUUUUACAACAGAGUUGGCAAACCUUUUCUUAAAGGCUGAGAGUCACUAUUUUAGUGUUUAUAGGCCAUGUGGUCCCUGCUGCAGUAACACUCACAUCUGCUGUUCGAGAACAAAAGCAACGGACAGUCAUGGCUGUACUUCUGUAAUACUUUAUUUACAAAAACACAGUCCAUGUUCGCUGUCCUCUGCCCUCCAGCUCCUGUACUUGAUUGAAUGAAGGGUUCAAACUCAAAGCUCCUGUGGUUUGGAAACAUAAAACCAGCUGUAUGACACUGGAUAAGUUACUUAACUGCUCUGAGCCUCAGUUUCCUCACCUCUGGAAUGUGGGUGAUAUAAUACCUGUCUCACAGGAUUGCUGCAAGGAUUAGAUGAAGUAGUAACUGUGCUUAGCGCACAGCAAAAGCUCAACAGAUACUGCUCUCCAUAUCACGAUGGUAAAAAUACCAAAUAACCAGCUUUCCUUGACACUGACCUCCAAAACAUGCACGCCCUGUCCUAACAAGGCAGGUACUUGUCAAACUGUGAAAUAAUGCAAAUUUCAUCUUAAAAAAAUAAUCCCAUGUGGCUAUUGGUUUUGCAUUGUCUGAUGGUACUUUCUAGGUCAAAGAACAUUUUGUAACAGAAGCACUAAGGUGGAUGUAGAAAUGGAAGGUCAAAACAGAACAAAGUAAAGGCCCGGACAGCAGAGUGCUGCCAGAAAGGGCACGGAGUUUGAGGAACCCACCUGCCUCCAGUCACUUUGCGCAACAAGGCCCUCCGGGUGGCAGGACCCUGUGGCCAUCCAGGGCUUCCCGAGAAGAGGUCCCUGCCCUUCAGAGCUUACAGCCCACCACCUCCUUCUCUGGGUGGAGAGGCCCUGCCUGCCACGCCGCCCUGGGGGCUGGGAGGGAGAAGAGCUGACAGAGAAGAAAGCUGGGCAGGCAGAGCUGGGAUGGGCAGAAGAAGCUGGCCUUGGAUGAGGGAAGGUCUCCCAGUGGGGAGGGUUGGGCUCAGGGGCCACGGAUCUGUUCUCUUGGGGACCCACAGGCUCACACUGGAAAUUGAAGCUGAUGAGGUCCACUCACUCUUCACCAAAAGACAUGUGUAGUUUUAUUGAUAGGGGACCCAAAGCUGACAUUUUCGAGUGGCUAUUUUACCCACUGUAGGAAGUCAUCCCAGGAUCUGAAAUGCAGGCUUAAGGUAUUCUGGAAACAGCCUAGAUUUAUUUGACUAUAGACAUCUAGCUAAUCUCCUGGGGGUGCCCUGCAGCAGCCCCCCCUUCCCCCAUGCAGGUCCUGAGUUACUGCUCCCAUCACAUCACGUAGCCCCUCACCUCUGCUGGCUUCUCCUCUCCCCUGAACCUGGCUUCUCCCCUGCUCAGGCUUCUCCUAGCCAAGCUGGCACA